This 282-nucleotide ribosomal RNA is filed under the name uncultured prokaryote. RNAcentral's name for it is "partial 16S ribosomal RNA". It matches the Rfam family "Bacterial small subunit ribosomal RNA", at positions 524 to 817 of the family's 1533-position model. The record is from RNAcentral.
UACGUAGGGGCUAGCGUUAUCCGGAAUUACUGGGCGUAAAGGGUGCGUAGGUGGUUUCUUAAGUCAGAGGUGAAAGGCUACGGCUCAACCGUAGUAAGCCUUUGAAACUGGGAAACUUGAGUGCAGGAGAGGAGAGUGGAAUUCCUAGUGUAGCGGUGAAAUGCGUAGAUAUUAGGAGGAACACCAGUUGCGAAGGCGGCUCUCUGGACUUUAACUGACGCUGAGGCACGAAAGCGUGGGGAGCAAACAGGAUUAGAUACCCCCGUAGUCCCUGAGCGGGCU